Long non-coding RNA from Triplophysa rosa, 1357 nucleotides. RefSeq lists it as uncharacterized. NCBI's taxonomy places the organism in Eukaryota, Metazoa, Chordata, Actinopteri, Cypriniformes, Nemacheilidae. The record is from RefSeq and is a predicted model, not a curated record. The transcript has 3 exons.
AUUCUAGGACUUACACACAUCACAUCAUACAGAUGAACAUCAACCAUGACAGACACAUUUACAUGUCAGCGACUCUAUUGCAUGAUCUGAGAUAUGUCCAGUCCAUUCACACUGAGGUUUGUCUUCAGGUGCUAUAGCAGGAUUAUCUGCUUUCCUGGCGGUCAUUGCUGUUUGUGUUAUCGCUGCUGGUGUGAUUUUCUAAUGAGUCAAGAAACUAAUGAAUUUAAGAGGAAUCAGUAAUGUCACGACGCCUCUUUUGAAUGCAAAAGAUGUUUGAUCAGCUGAUGGAUGCUCAACAUCUCCAGCGUGUAACAUGUGUUACAUCAUCAGCUUCUGCAGUAACAACUGCUUUCAUGAUCCGUCCUUUAUAAAUGAGAAAUACUGUAAACUCCCUCGAUGUUGAUGUUGAAGUAUCACGAUUUUUGAUCAACAGUGAAGCUUUCAUUUAUUUGCAGUUUACACCGAUCAAACAUAUCUGUUACUCACCACAGAGCAUAUGAUCAGUUUGAGUCUUGCAUGUUUGAUAUUGUGUGAUUGUUGUCAGUAUUGAUUUAAAGGGGUCAUAUGACACGGCUGAAACGAAUAUUAUGGUUUGUUUUAGAUGUAAUGUGUAUACAGGAUUUAAGGUUAUAAACGCUGUAUUUUCCACACACCGUGCAUGUUUUUUAUCUCUUCUUUGCUCCGCCUCUCUGAAACACGCUGAUUUUUUACAAAGCUCAUGGCUCUGAAAAGUGAGGUGUGCUAUGAUUGGCCAGUUAAUCAGUGCUUAGUGAUUGGUGGAAUACUGCAAGCGUGUGAGGGAAAUGUAACGCCUCUGACCAUAUUUGGAACAUCAGGUUCCUCUUCAGUUGUACUGACAGGUACGCCACCUUACUUGCGUCUACAUUUGGGCGGUCUUAGUCAAAUCAGACCACCAACUGACGUAGAUUUGUGGGGGUGUGGUUACACGAGGUGCAUGACUUCAUUGAAUAAUAUUAUGUUUGUUCAUCAGAUAUUCUGUUCAUCUGUCUACUGAUCAGAUCUGAAUGUAAAAUGUUAGAUGUGAAUUCAGACUGUCAGUACAGAUAUAAAACACUAACUUUAUAAAGCACUUCACUGAUCAACUCGCCGUUUGCACUUGACAAAUAAAGGAGAAAACGCUACACUGAUGUUGGUGCUUAACUUUGUACUGUAGUAGAAUAUGAUACAGUAAAUCUUGUCUAGUUUAUGAAACACUUCUGAUGCACAUUUUUAUUUCCCUUUGGAUAACAAUAUUGAUAAACUUUUGUGGGUUAUUUUUAAGUAAACGCAUGCCUAAACAAGUAAAUACACAAUGUGCUGUAUGUCAUUAUCAUUUCAAUAAAGUACAAAAGCUGAA